UGACUUAACCCGGAGAGGAGGCAGUGGCUUAACUCUGUGCCAGCAGCCGCGGUAAUACAGAGACUGCAAGCGUUAUUCGGAUUCACUGGGCGUAAAGGGUGCGCAGGUGGCCAAGUGUGUUAGGCGUGAAAGCCCGGGGCUUAACCUCGGGAUUGCACCUAAAACUACAUGGCUAGAGCAUUGGAGAGGGGAGCAGAAUUCACGGUGUAGCAGUGAAAUGCGUGGAUAUCGUGAGGAAUACCAGAGGCGAAGGCGGCUCCCUGGACAAUUGCUGACACUCAGGCACGAAAGCGUGGGGAGCAAAAGGGAUUAGAUACCCCUGUAGUCCACGCCCUAAACGGUGCACACUAGGUCUUGGAGGAUUCGACCCCACCAGGGCCCAAGCUAACGCGUUAAGUGUGCCGCCUGAGGACUACGGCCGCAAGGCUAAAACUCAAAGGAAUUGACGGGGGCCCGCACAAGCGGUGGAGUAUGUGGCUCAAUUCGAUGCAACGCGAAGAACCUUACCAGGCCUUGACAUGCACUAGACAGACGCUGAAAGGCGUUCUCCCUUCGGGGCUGGUGCACAGGUGCUGCAUGGCUGUCGUCAGCU
This 592-nucleotide ribosomal RNA is filed under the name uncultured Verrucomicrobiota bacterium. RNAcentral describes it as "bacterial SSU rRNA". It matches the Rfam family "Bacterial small subunit ribosomal RNA", at positions 470 to 1060 of the family's 1533-position model. The record is from RNAcentral. Lineage: Bacteria; Pseudomonadati; Verrucomicrobiota.